UCAGAGUGGCAACCAAAGGUGUCUCCAGAAGCUGCCACCUGUCACCCCAGUUGGGAACCACUACUCAAGCUACUCAGGCAUGGUAUGUCGGUUAGUUUUGAGGGACAUUGUUCCUGGAAGGUAAGCCUUGUGAAAUCAGAACAGGUGGUUGCUUUCCAUAUGUGACGAAAGGGAGAUUAUUAUUAAUUUCUGUCAUUAACUCCAGCUAGGCAUGGGGGGGGGGGCGUCCCUGGAGAGUCUGUCCUAUGAGAAAGGCAGUAGAGGAAAAGGGAGGUCUGCCCUUCUCAAGGAUCUGUGAGGGGCUGUGAGGAUGGAUGGUUUGGGGAGGGUGGAGACCCUGAGGACCAGCAGGAUGCUGGACAGCGGUUUUGUACACAGUAUAAUCCCUCCCCACACCUGCCAUAACUUCAGGAAUGUUACUAAGCUCCCCAAACCAGGUUGCCUUUUGGGAAAUUGCAGUGAGCCUGCUAGUUCACAUGGAUGCAGCAGUGGAGACAAGGGGCCCAGGAGGUAGGAAGAUUGGAAAUUCACAGAAAUUAUGGAGAAGCAGGAACGUGUGGAAAUGGUGUGUCCUGAAGUAUGUGCCCCGCCGGUGAUUAUGAGCUCUUGUUCAGCAGCAGGUGCAGAAGUCCUGGGCCAGGAGGUGAUAGAUGCUGUGUUUGGGCACAUCACUCACCUGUUGGACCACCUCAGUGUCCCUGUAGUUGAGACAGAGUGACAUGGCACCUGAGCUUGGUUUAAGAUGACAGGUAGAAGCACCUGGAAAAGAAAGGGCUCCCAGAACCGCUGGAUUUAGUGAUGGAGGAACUUGGAGGGGUCUGCUUCCAUCCUCUUGGAUUCAUGGAUUUUUCACUCAUGGAUAACUAAGGGAUGGAGAAUUCAGAUUUCCAGAAGAAGCACAUUCAUUUAAGGCAACUUGAAUUCAGAGGAAAUAAUUGAAAUUGUCUGCAAUUUACGUUUUCAUCAUCUUUACCUUGUGAUUCUAAUUCUGCCAACUGGAUUCACACAGAAGAAGCUGAUGUCCUGCAUCUGAUGCCCUUUCAGUACUGGAGCAGCUGUCCUGGUAUUUGUUCUCCCAGGAAAGAGUCAAAUGUGGCCCACCUUCUUCAGUAGAAGAAUCCGUAUAUUUCUAGUUGAAUGGCCUUCUUUAUCUUAUUUCACCCUUGGAAAAAACAAGUACUAUCUGUAGAUCUUUAGGUUCAUGUUGUCACUUGAAGAAUUUUUAAAGCGAGAUAGUUCCCUGGUGGACUGGUGGUUGGGACUGGGCGCAUUCACCACUGUGGCCCAGGUUCAAUCCCUGGUCUGGAAGCUGAGAUCCCACAUUAAGUAGCUGCACGCUGCCCCUAGGGGGUAAAAAGAGAAUUCUUAAAGUGCUUUGAAAUUCCUAGAAUAGGAGUGCUGUGUUAGGCCUUGGUAACUGGACAGUCACCACUUAGUUAAAAUCUAGAAAUUACGAUGAUUUCCUCAGUUGGAAAUGCAGUUAUACCGGUUAGAGUUACAUGGCUUUAUUGGUUACAGUUACAUGAUUAUAUUGGUUAGAGCGACUUGGUUAUAUUGGUUAGAGUUACAUGGUUGUAUUGGUUAGGGUUACAUGGUUGUAUUGGUUAGGGUUACAUGGUUGUAUUGGUUAGAGUUACAUGGUUGUAUUGGUUAGAGUUACAUGGUUGUAUUGGUUAGAGUUACAUGGCUUUAUUGGUUACAGUUACAUGAUUAUAUUGNNNNNGUUACAUGGUUGUAUUGGUUAGAGUUACAUGGUUGUAUUGGUUCUAUUACAUGGUUAUACUGGUUAGAGUUACAUGGUUGUAUUGGUUAGAGUUACAUGGUUGUAUUGGUUAUAUUACAUGGUUAUACUGGUUACAGUUACGUGGUUAUACUGGUUACAUUACAUGGUUAUAUCUUAAGUAGUUCUGUUUAUUAGUCUCCCUCCUUUUGUACUUUCCCGUCAGUCAUGGUUUCAUUAAUACUAAAUCAGUGAGUUCUUAAAGCUUGUUUCUUCCAGGGAAAAACUGAGUUUAAAUGUCAGAAAAUUGCCCUGUAGUCAUCUUAUCCUGGGCUAGAGGCACUCUUGAGCUACUUAAUUUUUUUAAGUGGAAGAAAUUGCUGUCAAAACAGCACCAGAUCCAGGAAGUAGUAAUGACAAUUGUUACAGCCACGCACAGUAGGCCCGGCUCCGGUGGAAGCAGAGCCAAGCCCAGGGGUUCUGACUCUUGGUCCUGUGACAUUUCCUUUCUCCUCGACCUCUGUGGUGAUUGUGUUUCACUGGUAAUAAUUCACCUUCUUCUGCAGACGUCAUAGGAGAUAUCUUGGUGUCAAGGACAUAAAAGUUAGGUUUGACCAGGUCUUUAGCUGAAGACAAGCUGUUGGUUUCUUCCAGGUAAGGAGGUGCAGGUGAGGGUCUUCCUUCCUCUGUGUGCUGACAUGGCCGGAGAAGCAGAGGGCAGGGACGGGGUGGCGGGGGCUGCGGCAUCCUCCAUGCCUCCCUUGGUUCAGCAGCUGCCUCACGAGCUUCCGGGUCCCUUUCAACCAGGUCUCUGACCCUGAGUCUCCAUGGGGGCCACACCAAGAUUUAAAUUUCCUAAAUCUUACUUGCUCACUGCCCAACCCUAAAAUUUCUGUUCCCAUCCCUCCCCUGGCCCUGCCUUUCUUCUUUCCCACCUGCUCCUAUACCACUGGUCUCUCUGCAGGAAAAAUACAGACUUACCCUGAAGCUAAAGAAGCUGAAGUCCAGGGCCCCCACCUGCACUCUAAGACCCCAACCCCAAGGCCUUGGGAAGACACUAAUCAUUUUCUCUUUGGAAGUUUAACCCAUUUUCUUUUGAUGCCAAAUAAUAUCAGCUUUGGGAUCUGUGCUUUUUCUUGAGGAAAACACCUUGGGACUCAUAGAAACCGAACAAACAGAUAUUUCAUGGCUUGUGUCUUAAAUGUUAAGGCUAACAACUAAUAUCUGUGGUACAUGAUGUUUGGCCCAUGAGUGUGGAAUAACAAUUUGCUUUGACAUCUAAUUUUAAAGGGUGUAAGUGAAUUGGACAUUGAGUCAGCACAAUUCUUCCCAAUUCAGUGGGGCCACUGGGGUGACAUUGGGUAAGUAGAGUGCAUGGUCAGUAAGACACUGUUUUUUUCUUCUCUUUAUUAUUUAUUUAUUUUUAUUACUCAAUGAAUUUAUUACAUUUGUAGUUGUACAAUGAUCAUCACAAUCCAAUUUUAUAGGAUUUCCAUUCCACAACCCCAGCACAUCCCCGCACCCCCCAAACUGUCUCCUUUGGAGACCAUAAGAUUUUCAAAGUGUGUGAGUCAGUAUCUGUUCUGCAAAGAAGUUCAGUCUGUCCUUUUUUCAGAUUCCUCAUGUCAGUGAAAGCAUUUGAUGCUGGUGUCUCAUUGUAUGGCUGACUUCACUUAGCAUGGUAAUUUCUAGGUCCAUCUAUGUUGCUAAAAAUGCUAGCAUUUCAUUCAUUUUAAUGGCCGAGUAAUAUUCCGUUGUGUAUAUGUACCAUAUCUUCUUGAGCCACUCCUCGGUUGAUGGACAUUUAGGUUGUUUCCAUGUCUUAGCUAUUGAAAAUAGUGCUGCAUUUUCUUCUCUUUAUAUCUGAGGAUAGGGAUCUGGCAUAUUAGUGAAACCAGAAGAUUUUUACUUGCACCACACAGCACCCUAACAGAGCUGAGAUGGCCCACAGGAAGGGGGUCUGUGGGAGCUUGCAGCAUUCUACAGCGUGUCCAGGACCGUGAUGGAGACAGGACAGCAGCUAACAGGCCUUUGGAGCCCCACACAGACAGGGAUUCAAGACGGGGCUAGUUCAGAGCCCAUCCAUGUACACAUGCAUUUGUCAGCCCUCCCCUCCAGGCUGGCCUUGAUCUAGAGAACCGUGUCGUCCAAAAGGGCAUAUUCAGUAGUGACAAAGAGGUGCCCGGAGACAAAAAAAUGUCAAGCGUUUCAGCACAAGCUGAAAACAUCUGAAGUGAUCAGACAAGAGAACAAAGGAGGGAUGAUUGGUAUAUUUAAUGUGGACCAGCAGUAGAGGUGGUUUCUAAGGGCCUGCACUGAGUCCUGCCUACGGGAGAACUACUAAAGACUAAUGCCUCCAUCUCAGCGUUACUUAGGCUCCAGGAGAGAAAUGGGUCGACUUCAUUUCCACAUCAGGGGGCCUGGAUGCGCUCCAACCACUGGGCCUCCUUCCUCCUGGGGCCAGGCUGGAAGGGGACGCCCGCAGGGAGGCAGGAAGGACAGGGCACUAGAAAGACAAGCAGUCUCUGAGGGUGCAAAAGGAGGGAAAGUGUGGAGGGAAGGUGAGGCAGGUUUCACCCUGUAGGCAGGACCCUGGAGGGGCUGGCGGGGGGUUGGGGGGUGGACACGGGUGCAGUUGUUGUGAGCAGGCUCCCGCACCUGCCCCUCUGCCCCUCCCCUCCCCUGAAGGGCAGACAGGAGAGGGGUCUUCUCCCAAGCCCUGAGCCAACAGCCGGGCUGGUCCCCAGAGUGAAAUCUCCCUUAUUCUGGUUUGGGUUGGAGUGGUGCGGCGGGGAGGAGGGGAAUUGCCAGUCUAGGGCCAAUUAGCUCCUCACCCAUCUGUCUAAGUAAAGCACCAAACCCCAUCUGUGGACCCUGAACGCACCCCCACCAGCUACGUUCCACUCAGAGUCCAUGGCAAACCUACAGCAGGUCAUCGAAGGAGGCUGAGGCUCGUCCCACGGCCUGAAGAGGAAGGCAGCGAAAGGGGACAAGCCGAAGAUCCACACAGUCCGCUGACCUGGGGAGGGGCUAGGUGGGAAACAAAAGAAAGAAAACCAAAAGUCGAAUUGUUGUCUUCAGAAACAUUCAAGAAAAUACCGCACAAUCCAAAAUGUGAGAACAGGAUGCUAUUUAUGAACAGGCAGAGAAUAGGAAAGAAAUCAAAAUUUGAUUGCGGAACUUAAAAUCCCAUGGAAGAGAUGGCAGCCAGGAUGGAGCUCGAGGGAGGCUCGCAACAGAGCUUGCUGGAUGGACUUGCGAUGCAGAAACACACAAGGAGAGAAAGAAGACGUGAUGCAAGAACCUGACCCCAGGGGCUGGGGAGAUCCGGUUGCAACUAGCUGUGCAGACUGGCCGGUGGGUGUUGGAGCAUCGGCCAAGGAUGCAGACAAGCUCAGCACCAUCAGCAGCAGCUCAGGGGACGCAGCAUUGAGCCUUCACGUGGCUGACCGCGUCUGUGUCCCUCCUGUGCCGGCGGCCAUGGAUGCCAUGCUUGCCCGGAGCCCCCGCUUUGUCUUCCUACCUCUCUGUGAUCACAGGGCCUCCCUAGGAUGCACAGUCUGGCUGGCUGCCACCCUCUUCUGCGCCACCCACGGCGCUGAAACUGGGAGUGAUGGCAACACAGCUUCUGUGAAU
Molecule: long non-coding RNA, 5356 nt
Filed under: Sus scrofa (pig)
Lineage: Eukaryota; Metazoa; Chordata; Mammalia; Artiodactyla; Suidae
Description: lncRNA (ENSSSCG00060036562.1)
Source: RNAcentral